GCUGGCCUGACGCAUAUACAACUCCUUGACGUGACGCACAGCUGCACAGUACCUCACUGGCUCUACGAUAGAUCUCUUCAUCUGCUUUUGUGACGCUGAGACGCUUAAGCAACCCGUGACGGUGUAACCAAAACCGGAAAAAAUGGGAAAAGUCGAGCAAAAGCCUAGGAAAGGAUGUUUCGCACAGUGUAUGGAGCCGAUCCUAUGCAGCUGUUACGGCUGCAUGGCACGGCUGCUGACCAACGUGUUCCUGUGCGUGCUGACGUGCUUUCUGGUGUACGUUGGCUUUCUACACUUUCUGCGCGGCAAGGAUGCGGGCGAAGCGUUCAAGAACGCGUUCCGAGAUUUCGUCGGCCUCUUCUGGAGCAGUUCGUGAUGUGGUCGGUUUGGUCAGUGAUUGCGAACCAUUAAAGUGAUAAGUGUGAACGCGUAACAGGUUACGUAACCGGUCGUGUAGUGCGUAAGAAAGUGCCCUCAUCGCGCAGUAGUGGCGAUUUCGAUUUUGUGUUAAGUGUAGUAAUGAAAAUGAAGAGCACCGAGAAGAGGAAAAGAUUGCAAUGGAACGUCAACUCAGUGAAUAAUCCAGUAUGGGACUACUCUAUUCUACCAAAGCAGUAUCUUUAGAAAACCAAAUGUCUCACUUUACACAAUCUUUUAAUGGACGUGACGGCGAGUAGUGCAGUGUUUCUUAUUUUUAAGCCAAAUCAACGCAAACUCUCCUCUCUGCGCAAAUUGCUACCGAAUCAUAGUGAAUCAGUUACGGAGUUUCCACUGAGUGGGAAAAGUGACGAAAAUACUGCACUGUGCCCAAGAUUUUAGGUGUGACAUUCCUAAACACUGACCGGCGCGGUAAUGAACGAUGAACGACGACGGCGUGUAGCAGCAAAGCAGAGGGAACCACAAUCUAGUGAAUUAUACCCAAAAAUGAUGCUCAAAUCAAUGUAUAUCUAUGCAUAAUCUUGAUAUGCCGUGUGAUUAGCUCUUAUAUGUACUUAAGUGUUUGAAGCAGAAUGUCUAAAUUAUUGUACACACAGACAAAUACGAUAAGCCCCUUGAAUAAAAUCCACCCUCGAACGAAACGAAACGGUGGAUUGAGUGUUUUGUGUGAUUCAAAUUUACAUAAUGCGAUAAGAGAUAGUUAAUUCGAAAGAAAGGUAGUGAGUGUGCCGCUUAUGUUUACCUCUUUGCGUGGAUUAAUCAUAUACAUGUACUGGUAAAUAUUGGGAUUGAAUUUCGAUCGUUUUCGUUUCCAAAUUAAGCUAUUGAAGCUUGAACUACAUGCUCGUCAGUACUGUAUCGGCUCGCAACGUUACUACACAGCAUUUCUUCCAAAAAGCAAAAAUGUCUGAAUUCUUGCCGGGAUGUUACUGCCAGUGUCUGGAUCCGUUGUAUUGCGGAUGCUCAUACCGUACGCAAAUUUUCAUUAACAGGGUUCUUAGUUUCAUAUUUUUCCUACUGGUGGUGUACUACUUAUAUCUGUUGGUGGACGGAUACGGUCCUGCUGACGCGUUCGUGGAGGUUUUCGAUGGAAUUGGUGACUUUUUCAGAUACAUUUUCCGCGGAACGAAAAAACUGUGGCCGUUUUAAGCGUUUGCUGCGAGUCGGUGCAUUGCGUAAAGAAGCGAUACCAAGCUGAGGAAGAUAAAUCGCAACAUAAAGAAGCUAUGGGGCAAGGGCUUGGAGUGAAUCCAUUUUUGGGCGCACAGCAAAUGUCACAAUAAAUCACAUUUAGAUUAGAUUA
This is a long non-coding RNA of Anopheles merus, 1741 nucleotides long. RefSeq lists it as uncharacterized. The record is from RefSeq and is a predicted model, not a curated record. Lineage: Eukaryota; Metazoa; Arthropoda; Insecta; Diptera; Culicidae. The transcript is spliced from 3 exons.